This 1164-nucleotide long non-coding RNA is filed under the name Pavo cristatus (Indian peafowl). RNAcentral describes it as "lncRNA (ENSPSTG00000000634.1)". Lineage: Eukaryota; Metazoa; Chordata; Aves; Galliformes; Phasianidae. The record is from RNAcentral.
AUGCUUGUGAACCACUUUCUGAAAAACAAGGAGCAGCACUGUUGCAGUGAGACUGGGCAAGGUGGACCCUCCAGAAGUAACAGAACAGCAGGACCUUACACUCCAUCUGCUGCAUGUGCUGGUAUCAAAGAACAGUUUUGGAGGUCUGGAUCUGUGCUCAGACAAAAGGGAAAAACUUCAUUGGAGCUUACGUGAUCUGAAAUGAACAAUGUAAUUAUCUAGAUGUAAAAUAAAGAUCACUUUCUGCUGUUACCUAUUUUUAAACACUUCCAUCAACAGGGAGCCAUCCACAAGUUCCCAUUCUAAGAAGAAAUGAAAUGCAAAAAAUAAGCAUAAAGAUGACAAUGCAAGAUGAAAAAUUAGGAUGAAGUAUAUUGACAAGACUAUAUGGAUUAGACUGUACAUCAAAGAUUCUACCCACAGUAAUUCUGCAGUACCCAAUGAGCAGACAAAAAUGUAACCAACACCUAUAUCGACCUGCUGGUCAUCACAUACUUUCCCCAAAGCUGCAGUAACUGCUGAAAUCACAGCUUUGGAGAUAGCAUGUCAUACGCAAUUGUGUCCUUUCACACUACACGAGCUGUCCUGUCACAUCAGAUCUGAAGAAAUUUAAGGAAUUUUCAACCUUCAGAUUGCAAAUUUGCCAUAUUGGAGUUGUUUCUAUUAACAACAAGCUGUUUAAUUAUCUAUUAGGUAUCACAGCACAGAGUUCAGUGCAGGUUUAGAAAAUAACUGCCUUCUUAACAGACCCUGUUAAUUUUCCUUUUGUGAGUAGCAGCUGGAAAACGUUCCGCCAUGUAUUCAGAAGUCCCCAAAUGACAAGAUGUGUUCUAUCAGGUCAGACAGGCUGCUCCUGCUUUUCAGCUAACCUGUCAUGAAAAAUGCAUGAGCCUUCAAAAAGGAGAAAUCACCGCAGAUGAUGAAAGGCAUUGCAUCCAACAAGUAUGAACUUCAGAUCAGAUUUUAAGGUCUGUACUAUAAUUCCAGUAUUAGUUUGUCACUAAACAUGUUUUCUACAACAGACUCCCACGAGCCUGAUAGACUUGGCCUAAAUUGCCAAGCUUUUUAGAACAAAUUUCUGGAGGUAACACAAACAUUGUUCUACUCAGCAACACAAGUAACUGAAGAAUUCAACUCUUCAAAACUAGUGUAAGUAUUUAUUUG